Molecule: long non-coding RNA, 203 nt
Organism: Solanum tuberosum (potato)
Lineage: Eukaryota; Viridiplantae; Streptophyta; Magnoliopsida; Solanales; Solanaceae
Exons: 3
Source: RefSeq, a predicted model, not a curated record
GCCCACAGUUAGAAGAAAGUUGCACCAAUCAGAGUAGUGCAAACUCCCAGUGGUCCAACAUUUCCCAUAUUCCAAAAAUUGAAGUAGGUGGAAGCAUAAUUCAGGACAGACGUUAGUACUUUCAAGGUCAUGCUAGAACGUUGUUGUGGUAAAUCAAGACAAAUCCCUUGAACUACAGGUGCUAUGAUGAAGAUACUGAAUGG